This 9860-nucleotide long non-coding RNA is filed under the name Olea europaea subsp. europaea. Lineage: Eukaryota; Viridiplantae; Streptophyta; Magnoliopsida; Lamiales; Oleaceae. The record is from RNAcentral.
GAAACCCAGUUGUCCUAAUCAUAUUAUCAUGUCUUCGUUCUUUGCUCCCUCACGACUGAUGAUGAGGAAUGGGGCUUCAUUUGCAUUGUGAUUAUAUUCAACAUGCUUAGGUACUUUAGAACAACGUUUGAGAAUGAAGUUGAGCUCGUUUUGGAUUCUGUUUGCAAAAUAUACUAGAAUUUUCAGGCAACUGUUAAUUGCAUUUUCGAGUGUCGAUCCAAAAGAUGGAUGAAAUUGGAAUCUUGCAAAAAUUCUGAGCUUCUCUUGUGUAUUAUUGUUCAGCGAUUUACACUUCUACGGUUACCCUUUCGAUUUUCUAUUCUUGUUUUUAUUGAAUUUUCCAUGUGUGUUCGAUUUUUUUGCUGGUGUUUAACGUUAACAAAUUUUAACUCGAAUUCUUUCGAUUUUCUUUGUUUUUUGUUCAAAAAUCCCAUGUGUGCUCGAUUUUGUCGUUGCGUUUAAGGUUAAGCAAAUUUGUUUGAGAUAUUUUGUUUUUCUUCAUUUUUUGUCUUCUCGUCUAUAUGUUUGUUCUAUUUCUUCUACUUUUAUUUCUAUUUGCUUGAUUACAUUUUUGCGUUUAGGUUUUACCAAUUUCGAGUGACAUUUUUUGUUACAUUCAGUUCUGGCCUCUUAUUUCUUGUGUGUUCUGCUUUGGUUACUUUUAAUUGGGCUCUAUUGUAGCUAAUUUUUUUACAAGGUCAGCAAAAAUUAGAAAUAGGAAACGACGUUGGUUUCUUUUUUGUAGUUUAAUAUGGUCUUUUCCUUGAUCUAUCUUCAUAACUAAAACUAUGUAUAUGAAGGUUUGCAUAUGCCUUCUUGCUAUUUGUAGUGGAAGUUUGCUGUCUUUCUCUGUAUUUUACUGAUCUUAACAUUCAUGGAGGCUUCAAUGUAGGGCUUUUUUGUUUACCAUUAUUUUGAGCUUUGAUGUGUGUCUAGGAUUUUACUUUGCCUAUAUUGUAUAUCAGGACUUUAAUAUCCAUUUGGGCCUGUCGAAUCUUACUUGCAUUCAUUUGUUUGGCUUGAAGUUUCACUAUUGAACAUCACUUAGAACUUUCUCGCUUACAAUUUAAAGUGGAAGCUGGUAAUUUGGUUGAUAGUAUGUGGCUUAACAUAUCUUGAUAGUCUUUGUCAAGCUAUAGAAAUUUGAAACUGGGUUAAGUAGAAAUUAUUGGAUAGUCUGAUAAAUCGAUGAAAUUUUAUUAGAGCAAUUUCAUUUUUCCAUUUAGGGUACUAAUAUGAUAUAAGUUCUUUAUUUAGAACUUCUGUAAGGCCUUUAUACACUUCUCUUUUGUUGUACGAAAUGAUGAUACUAAAAAUAAUGGAGAUUUUUUUGAAGUUCACUUUAUCAUUUAAAAUGUUAUUAUUAUAUUUUGUAUUUUCCUUUAUCGUUUUGCCAAGUAACCCUUCAUAAUAGAAAAAUUUUCAUUCUUCCUCUACCCUUACGCACGUUCAACACUUUUCUCAGUUUACCAUUUAACUAUUUUGCAGUUUAGGUAUUCCAAAGAAGAAGGGAUUCCCGUGGGAGAAUUUCAAAAUCGGAAUUUCACAUAACUUCUGAGGUGAUUGUCUUUCAUUUUAUAUACUCUUUUCGUCAAAUUUGUUACAAAGUUAUGUCUUUUACAGUUAGACUAUUUAUAUUGGAUAUAAACAUAUUUCCUUUGCAUCUCAUCUCUGGAGUGUCUAUUUUUUUUCUUUGUUUCUGUGUUUAUAAUUUUGUGUUUGAGUUAUUCUGAAAUGAAGAAGCCAAAAAAUCAAACACAUAUAAUGUAUUUGUGACCUUAAGUAUGUUGAUUUCAUAUUAUAUUUACUGCUAAUUACUUUGUCAUGUCGGUUCGAUUUGCAUUUCUCUUUGUUCAGAUUUGGUUUAUUUUUUCGACUUAAUAUCAACCCGUCUGAUGAAUUAUUAUCAGUCAUUUGUCAAAAUCAAUUUCCUUCACUCUGUUAAGAAUAAUUAAAUUGAGUAAAAUAAACUAGUUAGCCAAUGAGGUUUAAAAGUUUGUAUCAAGGAAAAUAUUCUCAAAUCUUUUUUGUGAAACUUAUAGAAAUAUACCUCCAUUCGUGUUGUCUACUCCAUUAAGGAAGUAGCUUGGAAUUACAAAAUGGUAAAAAGAAAAAGAAAUUAUGUUUUUAUGAUCAAAGUGCUAUGAUUGCUUUGUAGGUGCGUCUAUUUUAUACUAUUGAAUCUAUAACUUAUGAAAAGAUUUAGGUCAUUACAUGAACAUAUCUAUGGUGGGAUGUUGAAUUCAUCAAAGAUAUUUUCGAGAAGUAUUGAUCUAUAGUUGAUUUAACUAUUCUUGUUUAAAGAUCAUAAGGCAUUUGAGAGCAUAAGGGUUAAGUAAUACAUUUAGGUGCCUACCAAAUUCUAUUGGAUGACUAUUUUUCAUAUGGAGGUUAGAUUGUGCAUAUGAAUAUGCAAUUAUCAUCUUAAUAUUUUAUGGGUCCAUGUUUUACCCUUCAAAAGGAAAAUAUUGUUGUAUUUUUUCUGAGGAAUUGAUGAAUUUUUUAUUUAUUUAUUUUUUUGUUUUAUAUGAUUGAAACAUCUAGGAUCCUGAAACAAAAAAAAAGCCUCGAGUGAAGAUUUACGUUGACAAAGAAAUUGGAAGGAAAAAGGGAGAUGCACUUGUAACAUAUCUGAAGGUAAUGCUUUUUGCUCAAAGUGCUUGGAGUAACAUGUAUCGUUGGAAUGUUUUCAUCUUUGAUUGUUUUGUCUUCAAUGAUGUUAUUGUGGAUUGAGGUCAUUGUUGUUGUGUUAUUAUUGUUGUUAUUAUUAAUAUUAUUGUUAUUUUACUAGGCAUUAGGAACCUUCAGUGGACCUGUCCAUCCAAAUAACGGAUGGAGCUCCUCUAAGGCCUGGUGGCUAGAUCCCAAUGUCAGUUACAAAAGCUAAGUUUGCGCAAAAAGGUAACGUGUGGAAUGCAUUGUUCAUUUUCUGCAUUUGUUUCUGGAUAUUAAUUCCAUUGCCUAUGUUCAUUUCGUUGUACGAAUUGAAUAUUUUAAAAUUUAACUUCUCUUUUGGUGUUAAUUAACCUCCAGGGGAUAAAUUCAUGUAAAACAAGUGGACAAGAAUAAGAAGAAACUUUAGAAGAUUGAAAGGAAAAUGUUACGUUGGGUGAGUCCUUUUCUCACAAAAGAUUAAAUUUUUAUUAUGUAGGGUUUGAUCCCCAAUAUGAAAAUAUAGGUAUGUUGAUUUGAGUUUUAAGUGUUCAUUCUAUUUUUGAUUUCAUUAAUACAAUUUUCUAAAAGGUCAAGUUAAAUUGGAUUCUUUUUUGUUUUAUUUUUUGUCCAUACAUUGUAAAAAAAGGUGAAACAAAACCCUUGGUAAAUUCAAUCGACGAUUAUAGCUGUGUCUUCAUCCUAUUGCGAUUUUGCGGCGGCUUUUUGUAUAUGUUGCUGUGAUUUGCUCAUUUGCAGUAGCCUUUGUACAUCUUGCUGCAAAUUCUGAUGGUUAUAUCUUUAAAUUGUGAAGUAUGUCUAUUUAGAAUUUUCCUCCAGUCUAUAAUUUUUUUUCAAAAAAUUUUAGUACAAAUAAAUUCAGAAGGCUGAGAUAUAAUCCUAAAACCUUCAUUCUUGAGUAUCUUUCUUCCACUAUCUUCAACCUUAUUGCUUUUCUAUUUGAUUUAUUUAGUGGGAAUUUUGAGAGAUCCUUUUUGUUUUCUUUCAACCUUAUUGCUUCGUUUCAGACGCUUCUCAAGUAUUGUCAAGCAGAAAUUUUGACGAUUGGGAUUACUGUUCCUGGGUCAAGUUUCUUGCGAUUUAGGUUCUCGGGUGGUGGAAUUUAAUAUUGUUGGUGAGGUCAUUCUUCUUCUUCUACUAGAAUUUAUAGAUUUCUAUUCUAUGGGUUUCAAAUUAGAAGGUUUUUUUUGUUUGGGUAAAAAUGAGGGUGUUUUGGUGACAGAUUUUUAAGAUUAUUCCUAUUCAUGUUAGCAUUCGUAUAAGUCACCGUUUGUUUCCGGUACAAAGUUUAUGGCCCUGCAGAAAUAAAAGGUAGCGAUAUUGAUUGGAUGGAGUUAACUUUGCAAUAAAAAAAUCCAAGCAAAUAGAAUUUGGCCAAUUUGGAAAACCAGCAUCCAUUUAAUCAUCACUUACGUAAAAAAAGUUCGGCACUUAAUAAAACAUUUUACAAUAAUUUUUGCUCUAAAAGAUGUAUCAAAUAAAUGAUUUUAUAUGUAACAAGCUACCAAGAAAUGUCACUGUAAACAUAAACAUAGAUUAAUUGUAAAGAUUUCAUCAACUUAGUUGAAUGAGCAUGUAUUGAGAAGACAGGAGAAGACAGAAGAAGAAAUCUAGGAAAUAGAUGUCAUGAUCCUUAUGCAAGCAUGCUUGUAUUCAAGCUAGAAAAAGCCAUCGAAUAUAUUAAAAAAAAAACAAAAACUUAGGGCUUGUUUGAGCCCCAUUGUUUUCAAAAAUGCAUUUUGAAAUAGUAUUAUGAUAGAAAGUGUGUGGUUAAAAAAUAAGAAAAAGAUUUAGAUUUUCAUGUAAUAUUAUUAAAAAAUAUGUGGUUGAUAUAGAGUCAAAUAACUAUUGAAGAAUGUAUUUUGAUAGAAAAAUGGGGAUUAAACACAAGCUUACUUUAUUAUUUUAAAAUAAGCAUGCAGGAUACAAAUGCGCAUUAUGUUGAUAGACGGCAUGUUCAAUAGGAUUUUGAACUCAAUCCUAUACCAGGAAACUAAGAAUUUGUAAUGUGCUACAGAUUGCGGAAUUUUAGGAUAAUGAAAGAUGGAUUGAUAAAUUGUUUUCGCUGGCUAUAUGUUGGCUAGAUUUCCUUUUACACGCAUAUAAAGUGUCACCUCCAAAUCCACAUAUGCAGAAUCCUCCCUACUUAAUCUGUGCAUAUACACUUUGUUACUUAGACUUGGCCGGAAGUGUCGGAUAAAAUCAAUUGUUGAACAUGGGUACUCUUUUUCUUCUUUGGGUUUUCAAAAUCAUUCUGUAAAUUAUUCAUGAUCUCUCUUUCUUAGUUUCAAGCUAGCUUGAUGAUGAUGAAUGAAAGUACCCGAUGAUUGGAAGUCGGUAAGAAAUUCCUCUUUCAUACCUUCAAAUAGGCAUGUUUUUAUUUGGAUACAUUGAUAUAUUUUCAUAUAGACAAACACAUAAAGCACAAAGGGAAUAUAAAGAACAAAGAGAAAUUCUACCCACAACUAAAGGAAACUUUUGCACAAACAUCUAGAUACAUGAACGAUAUGGUUCUCUGACAUUUGUGUACGUUGGCAUAAAUAUGAAUGUCAUCAAGGCAAUUACUCAAAUAUUUAUGUGCUAAUUAUCAUUAGUGCAUUUGUUCAUAUUCUGUUAAUAUUUGAUUGCACUGGCAUUGAGGAUUUGUUUCUCAAUUAAGUUAAUCAGAAUGAGGAUAUAUAAUACCUUGUUCUUAAUCAUGAUGCCGCCUAAAUUUUUAACCGGAAAUGGUGAGAGUUAGUGUCUUCAAUAACGCUCUUAAGAGCAUGUACAAUGCAGAGAAGCUAGGGAAGUGUCAGGUCAUGAUUCAACCAUCCUCCAAAGUCAUUAUUAAGUUUCUCUUCAUGAUGCAAAAGCAUGGUAUACAAAACAUUGUGUGGUGUUAAUUUGUUGUCUAUUUACGCAUGCAAUAUUCUAUCUAUACACUUAAUUCUUUAUCAUGUCUGUAGGAUACAUUGGAGAGUUUAAGUACAUCAAUGAUCACUGAUCUGGUAAAAUUGUGGUUGAACAAAUGUAGAGUCAUCAGCCCUGACUUUGACGUUGCUAUCCAGGAAAUUGAGGAAUGGAAUGCAAGGUUGCUUCCCUUCUGGCAGGUAAUAUAUAAAAAAACAUUGUACAUUAACAUUUGGAUGAUGAUCACUUGGUGAAUAUUGAGCUAUCAACCUGGCCAUAUGAUAAUAUAUAUGUUUUGCACAUGCACCUUUUAUUUCAUGGAAUAGUAUUAUCAAGGAGACUCUAUCUCUUAUUCAAACUUUUAUUAAGGUAUCUUCAAUUAGCAUGUCAAUCGGAUAUCUCCAUUCUUAAAUAGCUUCACAUCUUCCUAUCGUAAAAUGUGAUUAUUAUGUUUGGUUGUACCCUCAUUUCAUUCGUCUUUUCCCCAGUAGGUCGAGCAAAUUGUACUUUGUAUAGUAAUUAGACUUCAAAAAAAAUAUUAUCCUGCCUCAUCAGAUGUACAAUGGUAUGCUGCCAAUCCCAAGAGAAUGCUAAUUGCUGAAGUCCACAAAAUUAAAUUUCAUUUUUCUUACUUUCCUUCCUUCAAUAAAUAUCUUCUUUCAAUUGUUUUAAGCUCAUUUUACUUUUCAGUUUUGGAUACAUUUGUUGGCAUCAUGGAGCAUGAAGAGGCUAGGAGAAAGAAGGUUGAGGGGGAAAGUGUGCAAUCCCUGUGCAAACUAGUUUCUGAUGUAAUGUAAGUGAUCCCUACUUGAAUCAACAUAGUACUUAAAAGAAUUGAGGAAGUGUGUUCCAUGCACUGGUUGCUUGGAGCUUAAUCUUGAUUCUUUAAAUGCUAACUCUUCGUUUCUCGUUCCAUGCACUGGUUGCUUGGAGCUUAAUCUUGAUUCUUUAAAUGCUAACUCUUCGUUUCUCGUCUAAGCAUUUUAUCAAAUAGCUUGUGCGGGAUGAAGAAAUUAAUUUGACAAAGUGGCACUUAGAUGAUUGCUUUUAUUACCUUGACAAUUUUUCCAAGAUUACAACUUUUGUUGCAAGUCUUCAAGGUUAUUAAGUUCCAUUUGCCAUGUAAUAAAAACUAGGUUGUGUCGAAAUUAUUUCCUACUUAUAUGAUGUUUCACAAAAAAGUUGAGUAUCGAAUAAUUCUUAACUUUGUAGAAACGAGUACAUAAAAAAUGUUAUUUAAGAAGUCCCCUAAAAAAAAGGUGAAAAAAAAUCUAUUUCUAGAAACACUAAAAUUACCUUCGAAAUGACAAAGCUCGUGCAUGGCACGGGCAAUAAACUAGUAUAAAUAGAAGGGUGCAUGAUAUAGAAGAAGUUACUUAUUUUAAUGGUAGUCACUGUACAUAGUUUUUUUGAUAGCUUACAGCAUUUACAUAUUUCCAGAAUUCAAAAGAUAGCAAAAUAAUUAAACCAACUCUUUCAUCUGAAAACAAUAAGUUUUCUGGUUUCUUAACUAAAGACUCAAUAUUAAGUUACUACAGUACGACGAAUUUCGUGUAUUAAAAUACAAAAAUUGUUACAAAUUGUAUUUUGAUAAAAUACAAGUGAUUUGACCUUCAUGUAAUUGCAAAAUUGUAAAAAUCUUCUGAUAAAUGAUCUGAAUAUUUGAAGACGAGGGGUCACGUGGCUUGAAACCUAGUCUUCGAUAAUUUUUUGAAAAUUUGAUUUUUUGAGACUUGACCUAUUCAGCACUUAGAUUGCUUGGACUUGAACUUGGAUUUGAUUUGAUGUAAAGAAAACUUUGAUCUUCUUGAAUUUGGUGUGAACCUGUUUUGUUCAAAGAAGAUUUUGAUUUUCUUAGGGUUCAAAAGAUUUGGGUUUGAGAGGAUUUAUUCUCUUCCUUCGACGUUGAAAUUUUUUCAGUACUUCGUAAUUGUCUUCUAUGCUUUCACUUCUUCUUGAUUUUCUUCUCCCUCCUCCCCUUAUGGAUAAUUGGUCCUAUUUAUAGGGGAAUUUCCGUGCUAAUUUUGGUAAUACUAAAUUAUAUUUAAUUAAAAUGAAUAAUUGAGUAAUUUAUUAUUUUAUUUAUUUAUUUAAAAUGUGAUAUCGGCUUUUCGGUUUUAUGGACUAUAGUAGGCUUCAAUUUAAUUGGCAAAUGAUUUAAAUUGAUCCAAUCCAUUUUUUAAAAAUUUUUUUAUAUCAACAAAUGUCCCCUCAAGAUUUAUUUAUUUAUUAUGAAAUAAAUAAAUAAAUCAUAAUAAAUAAAUAAAUCUUGAUUUUCGAUUUUUUUUUCGCCUAUUUAUUUGAGUGAAUUAUGAGAUUUGAAAACAGGUUUGUUAAAUCUAGCAAACAGAGGUAAAUAAAUGUUUUUCCUUCCCCUCCCCCCUCCCUCUUGUUUGUAUUUUUUUUAUCCUUCUCUUGGUUUCAUCGUUGACCCUUUAUUAUUUUUUUAAUAUUUCUCGAUUUCUGCAGCCAGCGGAAAAAAAAUGGCGGCGGAAACCAUUGAUUUGGAAUUGGUUUAGGAAUUGGAAUUAUUAUCUCCUUUGUAUAUUUUUAUUUUUAAAUUUUUUUUAAUUAUUAAUUAGCUUUCUUGGUUUCUGUAAAACCAAACAAUUGUGGGCAGAAACCAAAAAACCAUGGUUUCUACCAAAUUUUUUUUCUUCUUUUUCCCCUUUAUUUAUUUUUUCAAUUUCUUUCUUUUUAUUUCUUUUUAGUUCUUUUCUUCUUCAUUUUUUUUUAUAGAAUGUCUUUUUAUUUUGGGUUGAAUUUUGAUUUUUGUUUUAUUUUUUCUUAGUGUGGGUAUUUUAUUGAAGUCGAAACUAACAUUCUUCAUUUUUUUUUUCAAGAACUCAACUUUUGAAGUAAGCCGAGAAUUUUGAGGUUUGAGGGUUUUGUGUGUGUGUGUGGAAAUUAAAUUUUUGUGCUGCAACUACUUUAGAAGUUGGAAAAUAUAUGCUUAUGAACAAACUUAAAAUUACAAACCUUUUCAUAUGAAUUGAGGACCAAGGACUCUCACUUUUCACCAUCUAAUGCACUUUUUGUUUAGGACUAAGAAUCUGUUCCUUCGACUGUCCAAGACAUUUUGUGUUGAGGAACAAAGACUUGUUCGUUCGAUCAUCCAAUGCGCUUUAUGUUGAGGAUCAAGGAUUGGCUCCUUCGAUUGUCCAUGGCGUUGAGGACCAAGAACCAGCUUCUUCGACCAUUCAAGACAUUUUGUGUUGAGUACUAAGGACUUGCUUCUUCAACCGUCCGAGGGACUUUGUGUUGAGGACCGUCCAAGGCACUUUGUAUUUAGGACCAAGGGCUGGCUCCUUCGACUGUCCAAGGCACUUUGUGUUUGGGACAUUUACAUAUUUGGAAGGCUCGUAAUUUUAGAUGAUAAUGAAUUUAAGAGAUUUACUACCCCUUUUUAUUUGCUUUCUUUUUUCUUUUGCAUGAUAGGAAUAAGUUCCAAUGAUAAAGUAUACUCUAACAUACACGAAAUUAUUGAGCUUAAAAAUUAAGGCAAAAGUUAUUUGCGUUUCAAAGAUACCAAUUUGAAGUACCAUGCCUAGACUUGCCAACGAAUGAUCCUUCUCCUGACCUCCUGAGCCAUUGUUGGAGUUGUAUAUGCCUACCAUUAGUGAAUGUCACGAAAGUUUGGAUAUUGGCAAGUGCAACCACUUCCGCAGAGCAUGGAGUGCAUCCCAAAGGCUGAANUUGGUUGUACCCUCAUUUCAUUCGUCUUUUCCCCAAUAGGCCAAGCAAAUUAUACUUUGUGUAAUAAUUAGACUUCAAAAAAUAUUAUCCUGCCUCAUUAGAUGUACAAUGGUAUGUUGCCAAUCCCAAGAGAAUGCUAACUGCUGAAGUCCACAAAAUUAAAUUUCAUUUUUCUUACUUUCCUUCCUUCAAUACAUAUCUUUUUUCAAUUGUUUUAAGCUCAUUUUACUUUUCAGUUUUUGAUACAUUGUGCUGAUUACAUCUGCUGGCAUCAUUGACCAUGAAGAGGCUAGGAGAAAGAAUGUUGGGGGAAAAAAAGUGCGCAAUCCCUGCGCACAUUAGUUUAUGAUGUAAUGUAAGUGAUCCUUACUUGAAUCAACAUAGAACUUAGAAUUGAGGAAGGGUGUUCCAUGCACUGGUUGCUUGGAGCUAAAUCUUGAUUCUUUAAAUACUAACUCUUCGUUUCUUGUCUAAGCAUUUUAUCAAAGAGCUUGUGCAGGAUAAAGAAAUUAAUUUGACAAAGUCACUUUGGCGAUUGCUUUUAUUACCUUGAUGAUUUUUGUUAUCCAAGAUUACAACUUCUGUUGCAAGUCUUCAAG